Temnothorax curvispinosus is the source of this 786-nucleotide long non-coding RNA. RefSeq lists it as uncharacterized. The record is from RefSeq and is a predicted model, not a curated record. NCBI's taxonomy places the organism in Eukaryota, Metazoa, Arthropoda, Insecta, Hymenoptera, Formicidae. The transcript has 3 exons.
CUACUAAAUUGUAAUCGUAUGAUUCAAGAAAGUGAAAUAAAAUAUAACAAUGAUAUUAUUUUUGCCAUUACUUUGUUGUUGACAAAUCAAACUCAAAAAAGAUAUUAUUCUAAAAAAAAGUUUUGGGUUGCACCGCUGUUUCAAAAUCGUAACGAGCACGGCUUUUAUAAAGCUACCUUACCAUAUAUAAGAUUAGAAAGUGCAAUUUUAUUAAUUAUUUUCGCAUGUCAUCAACACAAUUGGAAGAUUUGUUACAAAUUGUUGCACUAAAACUCCAGAAGCAGACAUUUAUGAGAGAGCCUGUCAGUGCUGAAGAACGUUUGUGUUUAACUUUAAGAUAUUUGGCUUCUGGCGACUCAAUGAUAUCGAUGUCAUAUCAAUAUUUAUUAGGAUAUACAACAAUAUGCAACAUCAUAUCUGAAACGUGUGAAAUACUUUAGAAUAUGUUGUGUCCAGUUGUUCUUCCACCUUCUUUGACCAAAGAAGAUUGACUUCGUAUUGCAGCAGAUUUCGAACAUCGAUGCAAUUUUCCGCAUUGUAUUGGUGCCCUUGACGGAAAACAUAUUGUUCUUCAAUGUCCUGCUAAUGCUGGUUCUAUGUAUUAUAAUUACAAAAACAGUUACAGUAUUAUUUUAAUGACAAUAUGUGAUGCUAAUUAUUUAUUUACAUUUAUCGACAUAGGAGCCUAUGGUAGACGCAGUGAUGGUGGCAUUUUCAAAGAAUGCCAGUUUGGUAAAAAAUUCGAACAAAAGAAGAUGGAUGUACCAGAUGCGGAUAUUAUUUCUG